This 253-nucleotide ribosomal RNA is filed under the name uncultured bacterium. RNAcentral describes it as "partial 16S ribosomal RNA". It matches the Rfam family "Bacterial small subunit ribosomal RNA", at positions 524 to 776 of the family's 1533-position model. The record is from RNAcentral.
UAUGGAGGGUGCGAACGUUAAUCGGAAUCACUGGGCGUAAAGCGCGCGUAGGCGGUUUGUUAAGUGGGAUGUGAAAUCCCCGGGCUUAACCUGGGAAUUGCAUUUCAAACUGGCCGACUAGAGUACGGUAGAGGGAGGUAGAAUUUCCUGUGUAGCGGUGAAAUGCGUAGAUAUAGGAAGGAAUACCAGUGGCGAAGGCGGCCUCCUGGAUCGAUACUGACGCUGAGGCGCGAAAGCGUGGGGAGCAAACAGG